AGUGAACGCGGCGGCAGGCCUAACACAUGCAAGUCGAGCGGCAGCGGAAAGUAGCUUGCUACUUGCCGGCGAGCGGCGGACGGGUGAGUAAUGUCUGGGAAACUGCAUGAUGGAGGGGGAUAACUACUGGAAACGGUAGCUAAUACCGCAUGACCUCGAAAGAGCAAAGUGGGGGAUCUUCGGACCUCACGCCAUCGGAUGUGCCCAGAUGGGAUUAGCUAGUAGGUGAGGUAAUGGCUCACCUAGGCGACGAUCCCUAGCUGGUCUGAGAGGAUGACCAGCCACACUGGAACUGAGACACGGUCCAGACUCCUACGGGAGGCAGCAGUGGGGAAUAUUGCACAAUGGGCGCAAGCCUGAUGCAGCCAUGCCGCGUGUGUGAAGAAGGCCUUAGGGUUGUAAAGCACUUUCAGCGAGGAGGAAGGCACCAUACUUAAUACGUGUGGUGAUUGACGUUACUCGCAGAAGAAGCACCGGCUAACUCCGCGCCAGCAGCCGCGGUAAUACGGAGGGUGCAGGCGUUAAUCGGAAUUACUGGGCGUAAAGCGCACGCAGGCGGUUUGUUAAGUCAGAUGUGAAAUCCCCGCGCUUAACGUGGGAACUGCAUUUGAAACUGGCAAGCUAGAGUCUUGUAGAGGGGGGUAGAAUUCCAGGUGUAGCGGUGAAAUGCGUAGAGAUCUGGAGGAAUACCGGUGGCGAAGGCGGCCCCCUGGACAAAGACUGACGCUCAGGUGCGAAAGCGUGGGGAGCAAACAGG
Molecule: ribosomal RNA, 757 nt
Filed under: uncultured Enterobacteriaceae bacterium
Lineage: Bacteria; Pseudomonadati; Pseudomonadota; Gammaproteobacteria; Enterobacterales; Enterobacteriaceae
Description: bacterial SSU rRNA
Rfam family: Bacterial small subunit ribosomal RNA
Source: RNAcentral